Molecule: long non-coding RNA, 654 nt
Organism: Mesocricetus auratus (golden hamster)
Lineage: Eukaryota; Metazoa; Chordata; Mammalia; Rodentia; Cricetidae
Exons: 4
Source: RefSeq, a predicted model, not a curated record
GUCCUGACUUCCUUCAAUAAUGAAGAGCAACAUGGAAGUGUACCUGAGCAGGCCAGAAGAGGGCGUCAGAUCACCUGGGACCGGAGCUAAAGGUGGCUCUAAGCUGCACCGUAUGGAUGCUGGAAACUGAGCUUGGGUCCUCUGAAAAAGGAGUCACCUCUCCAGCCACUGUGGUUGAUUUACUUUGACCCUCACCACCCCCUGCCCUCCAGAUGGAACAGUGACUAUCAGUUGGAGCAGUCUUCCUUUCAAAGGGACCUUUGCAACGAUGGAAAAGAAGACUAGCUAGUUGUUACAGAUGGGGUGAGAAGUUGUGCUAUAGAUGCCUCCCGGGUAAAGUCUGUAGAUGCUGUCUCAUCUAUCAAGCAAUGGAAAGCUCCAUAGCAAAUGAUUAUAUGACACGAAAUGUCAACAGCCUGAGGGGAAGGAGCACUGAUCCAGCAGAAGUUGUCCACUGGACAUAAACAUAAAUAUUUAGAAGACAUUUUCAAAGCAUGACCAUUUGACAAAAUAACAACAGUAUUGGAUACUACAGUCCCAAGAAUGAAAUUCUCUGCUGUGGCUCAAGCUCCAAACUCAGACAGUUGUUGGCACUGUUACACCAAUGAUCCCAUCUGUCUGGCAGAGCUGUCUUACAACAUCAACAUCCUGCAC